GGCCCGGCUGGCGCCGCCGGGGCGGUCGCCGUGGCAACGCGGACGCCAAUCUCCGGGCAAUGACUUCCAGCUGCCCGCCCGCCCGGCCGCGGGAGCGCGCCUGCGCGCAUCCUCCCUCCUAUACCCCCUACCCUCGCCACCGCGCCCUGGCAACGGCGGUUCCGCGGCUCUCCUCCCGUUUCUAAGCCAGUGGAUGGGGUAAAUCCCCGCUCGAACAUGCUUUUGGCCCCAUGUGACUUCCCAAAGGGACACUGAGUCAACCACGGGAUCAGAAAGGAGAGAGCUUCCUGCUUUUCUGUGCAGCCCUCUGGCAGGAAGCUGCACCUAGUUUCAACACAACUGCAGAGGUGAAUCUUGUACAAAGAAGACACGGAAAACUGGUGUAAAUGAUGCUGGGUAGAGCCCUGUGAAAAACUGAUGCAUUGCAGCUUUCUUUUGGAGUGACCAUUCCUGAAAGCAGAAGGACAGCAGUGAUUGCAGAACAUUCUCUCUCUGUUUUUUUCUCUCCUAAGGUCAGUUGUUGUCUGCUAGGAUAUUUGAUGCUUGUUUGCUUUGAACUAAGAUGAGAUUACUGACUCGCUUCUUGCCCUUGAAGAGCAUGAAGGUAAGAACUUUUGACCUGGAUUAGAUCUUGAAGCAAUGAUCUUGAAGUGGAGGACUGAUAUUGCAAUGCAGGUCUGCUGGUUGUUUUUGCUGCAAUUGGAGUCUAAAACAAUAAAUAAACACUAUUCUCCAGUU
Pogoniulus pusillus (Red-fronted tinkerbird) is the source of this 738-nucleotide long non-coding RNA. RefSeq lists it as uncharacterized. The record is from RefSeq and is a predicted model, not a curated record. Lineage: Eukaryota; Metazoa; Chordata; Aves; Piciformes; Lybiidae. The transcript is spliced from 4 exons.